Molecule: ribosomal RNA, 253 nt
Filed under: uncultured bacterium
Lineage: Bacteria
Description: partial 16S ribosomal RNA
Rfam family: Bacterial small subunit ribosomal RNA
Source: RNAcentral
GACGUAGGAGGCGAGCGUUAUCCGGAUUCACUGGGCGUAAAGGGCAUGUAGGCGGAUGGGCAAGUCCUGUGUUAAAGCCCCUGGCUCAACUGGGGGAGGUCAUGGGAGACUGCACGUCUGGAGGGCGGCAGAGGAGCGUGGAACUCCCGGUGUAGCGGUGGAAUGCGUAGAGAUCGGGAAGAACACCAGUGGCGAAGGCGACGCUCUGGGCUGCAUCUGACGCUGAGAUGCGAAAGUGUGGGGAGCAAACGGG